GAUGAACGCUGGCGGCGUGCCUAAUACAUGCAAGUCGAGCGAACGGACGAGAAGCUUGCUUCUCUGAUGUUAGCGGCGGACGGGUGAGUAACACGUGGAUAACCUACCUAUAAGACUGGGAUAACUUCGGGAAACCGGAGCUAAUACCGGAUAAUAUUUUGAACCGCAUGGUUCAAAAGUGAAAGACGGUCUUGCUGUCACUUAUAGAUGGAUCCGCGCUGCAUUAGCUAGUUGGUAAGGUAACGGCUUACCAAGGCAACGAUGCAUAGCCGACCUGAGAGGGUGAUCGGCCACACUGGAACUGAGACACGGUCCAGACUCCUACGGGAGGCAGCAGUAGGGAAUCUUCCGCAAUGGGCGAAAGCCUGACGAAGCAACGCCGCGUGAGUGAUGAAGGUCUUCGGAUCGUAAAACUCUGUUAUUAGGGAAGAACAUAUGUGUAAGUAACUGUGCACAUCUUGACGGUACCUAAUCAGAAAGCCACGGCUAACUACGUGCCAGCAGCCGCGGUAAUACGUAGGUGGCAAGCGUUAUCCGGAAUUAUUGGGCGUAAAGCGCGCGUAGGCGGUUUUUUAAGUCUGAUGUGAAAGCCCACGGCUCAACCGUGGAGGGUCAUUGGAAACUGGAAAACUUGAGUGCAGAAGAGGAAAGUGGAAUUCCAUGUGUAGCGGUGAAAUGCGCAGAGAUAUGGAGGAACACCAGUGGCGAAGGCGACUUUCUGGUCUGUAACUGACGCUGAUGUGCGAAAGCGUGGGGAUCAAACAGGAUUAGAUACCCUGGUAGUCCACGCCGUAAACGAUGAGUGCUAAGUGUUAGGGGGUUUCCGCCCCUUAGUGCUGCAGCUAACGCAUUAAGCACUCCGCCUGGGGAGUACGACCGCAAGGUUGAAACUCAAAGGAAUUGACGGGGACCCGCACAAGCGGUGGAGCAUGUGGUUUAAUUCGAAGCAACGCGAAGAACCUUACCAAAUCUUGACAUCCUUUGACAACUCUAGAGAUAGAGCCUUCCCCUUCGGGGGACAAAGUGACAGGUGGUGCAUGGUUGUCGUCAGCUCGUGUCGUGAGAUGUUGGGUUAAGUCCCGCAACGAGCGCAACCCUUAAGCUUAGUUGCCAUCAUUAAGUUGGGCACUCUAAGUUGACUGCCGGUGACAAACCGGAGGAAGGUGGGGAUGACGUCAAAUCAUCAUGCCCCUUAUGAUUUGGGCUACACACGUGCUACAAUGGACAAUACAAAGGGCAGCGAAACCGCGAGGUCAAGCAAAUCCCAUAAAGUUGUUCUCAGUUCGGAUUGUAGUCUGCAACUCGACUACAUGAAGCUGGAAUCGCUAGUAAUCGUAGAUCAGCAUGCUACGGUGAAUACGUUCCCGGGUCU
This 1372-nucleotide ribosomal RNA is filed under the name uncultured bacterium. Its description in RNAcentral is "bacterial SSU rRNA". It matches the Rfam family "Bacterial small subunit ribosomal RNA", at positions 28 to 1381 of the family's 1533-position model. The record is from RNAcentral.